Molecule: microRNA precursor, 197 nt
Filed under: Oryza glumipatula
Lineage: Eukaryota; Viridiplantae; Streptophyta; Magnoliopsida; Poales; Poaceae
Description: MIR812 microRNA precursor family
Rfam family: MIR812 microRNA precursor family
Source: Rfam by way of RNAcentral
UACAAGUGCAAUUGUGGAUUUUCAUGUCUAACGCCUAUUUUAUUUAAUUUUUUUAUAGUUAGCAUUUUAAUUGUUAUUAGAUGAUAAAACAUAUAUAAUACUUUAUGUGUGACUUACUUUUUUAAUUUUUUUUAUAAACUUUUUAAAUAGAUCGAGCGGUCAAACAUAGGAUACAAAAACCGACAACUACACUUAAA